RNAcentral lists this ribosomal RNA (274 nucleotides) under uncultured bacterium. RNAcentral's name for it is "partial 16S ribosomal RNA". It matches the Rfam family "Bacterial small subunit ribosomal RNA", at positions 523 to 796 of the family's 1533-position model. The record is from RNAcentral.
AUACUGAGGGUGCAAGCGUUAAUCGGAAUUACUGGGCGUAAAGCGAGUGUAGGCGGCUUCGUAAGUCAGAUGUGAAAUCUCGGGGCUCAACCCCGAAACUGCGUCUGAAACUGAUUAUCUAGAGUCCUGGAGGGGGAAGGAGAAUUUCGCAUGUAGGGGUAAAAUCCGUAGAGAUGCGAAGGAAUACCAGUGGCGAAGGCGCCUUCCUGGACAGAUACUGACGCUGAGGCGCGAAAGCGUGGGGAGCAAACAGGAUUAGAUACCCCGGUAGUCC